Molecule: ribosomal RNA, 250 nt
Filed under: uncultured bacterium
Lineage: Bacteria
Description: partial 16S ribosomal RNA
Rfam family: Bacterial small subunit ribosomal RNA
Source: RNAcentral
UUUCGAAUUAUUCACAAUGGGCGAAAGCCUGAUGGUGCGACGCCGCGUGAGGGAUGAAGGUCUUCGGAUCGUAAACCUCUGUCACCGGGGAAGAAUGGUUGCGACCUAACACGUCGCAAAUUGACUUAACCCGGAGAGGAAGCAGUGGCUAACUCUGUGCCAGCAGCCGCGGUAAUACAGAGACUGCAAGCGUUAUUCGGAUUCACUGGGCGUAAAGGGUGCGCAGGCGGUUAUGUGUGUUAGAUGUGAA